Molecule: ribosomal RNA, 439 nt
Filed under: uncultured bacterium
Lineage: Bacteria
Description: partial 16S ribosomal RNA
Rfam family: Bacterial small subunit ribosomal RNA
Source: RNAcentral
CUACGGGUGGCACCAGUGGGGAAUAUUGCACAAUGGAGGAAACUCUGAUGCAGCAACGCCGCGUGGAGGAUGACACUUUUCGGAGCGUAAACUCCUUUUAUAUAGGAAGAAGAUGACGGUACUACAUGAAUAAGCGCCGGCUAACUCCGUGCCAGCAGCCGCGGUAAUAGGGAGGGCGCAAGCGUUACUCGGAAUCACUGGGCGUAAAGAGCGUGUAGGCGGAUUAAAAAGUCAGAAGUGAAAUCCUAUAGCUUAACUAUAGAACUGCUUCUGAAACUCUUAAUCUAGAAUAUGGGAGAGGUAGAUGGAAUUUCUGGUGUAGGGGUAAAAUCCGUAGAGAUCAGAAGGAAUACUGAUUGCGAAGGCGAUCUACUAGAACAUUAUUGACGCUGAGACGCGAAAGCGUGGGGAGCAAACAGGAUUAGAUACCCCCGUAGUC